RNAcentral lists this long non-coding RNA (225 nucleotides) under Nicotiana benthamiana. RNAcentral describes it as "long non-coding RNA (NBEN_LNC000742)". Lineage: Eukaryota; Viridiplantae; Streptophyta; Magnoliopsida; Solanales; Solanaceae. The record is from RNAcentral.
CGCUGUAGUACGUGGGUGCAUCACUAUUUUCCGUAAUCGGUUGGGGAUAGUGGCCGCGGCGGAAGAUGGUAGAGUAAGGUCAUGUCCUCGAGGGGCAGGGGUGGGGGCAGGGGCGAGCAGGGGGGCUGUGAGCGGUUCUGUGGAUAGGGCCGGAGGCAAGGCUGGGAAGAGGGUAGCGGAUGCUCAUAGAUUAAGGAUCGGGUCGUGGAACGUAGGCACUCUGAC